AACGAACGCUGGCGGCAUGCCUAACACAUGCAAGUCGAACGAGACCUUCGGGUCUAGUGUCGCACGGGUUCGUAACGCGUGGGAACCUUCCCUUAUGUUCGGAAUAACUCCCCGAAAGGGGUGCUAAUACCGGAUAAUGUCUUCUGACCAAAGAUUUAUCGCCUUUGGUUGUGCCCGCGUUGGAUUAGCUAUUUGGUAGGGUAAAAGCCUACCAAGGCGACGAUCCAUAGCUGGUCUGAGAGGAUGAUCAGCCACACUGGGACUGAUACACGGCCCAGACUCUUACGGGAGGCAGCAGUGGGGAAUAUUGGAAAAUGGGCGAAAGGAUGAUCCAGCAAUGACGCGUGAGUGAUGAAGGCAUUAGGGUUGUAAAGCUCUUUUAACCGGGAUGAUAAUGACAGUACCGGGAGAAUAAGCUCCGGCUAACUACGUG
This 433-nucleotide ribosomal RNA is filed under the name uncultured bacterium. Its description in RNAcentral is "partial 16S ribosomal RNA". It matches the Rfam family "Bacterial small subunit ribosomal RNA", at positions 29 to 507 of the family's 1533-position model. The record is from RNAcentral.